UGAACUGAAAUAAUAAAAUACCACCUAGGCCUGUCGGGAGUGUUUCUGUGGGCCGUGGAAAAGUGGCCUUGGGUUUGGAAGAGGAAAGGCCAGCAGGGGCACCACCCAUCCCUUCCUACUCGGGUCUUACGGGAAACUUUAAGAAAGAUUUAACGGUGUAUACUUUGAUCACAUGGAACACACAUUAAAGGUUUCGGCUUUGCCCAGUCGCUGGGAAUUGUUUUUGGCAUUGUAACGUUUCUGCAAACCAAGGAUAUGUUGAAUGUGGUAGUUGUUGCAGCCAGAACAAACAGUAUACGUUGAAAGACCACUAAAGACAGCUGUUUGACCCAGCAAACCGCUGCGUGCGACCCGGAUGAACCUAAAAGAGUAGCAUUGUUGUACUUGUUGCUCAACAUUACGUUGGAAAGUUCACUGGAUGUAGUUAUAUACUGUUCUGCUAGGUUGUUCUGCUACAUUGAUUUGGUCCAUUUUUACUUUAUUUUAACCCCAAAUAUAUUUUUUUCUGUCCAUGAUCAAGUUUUAUCGUACAUUUUGUACACCAAUCUUCUCAUGUUAUCCACAUGGCAUGGUUGGUUUCCGCGAGCAUAAUCUAAGGCUGUUAUGAAAUCAACUUAAUGAACUAUUUUUUUUAGCAAAUAAGCAUUGGUUAUAUCCCAGGUUUUGCAGAAACAAGCUACGGCAACAAAAACACGUUUGUCAAUUGGGGCAUUUCUAGGCAUUUCUAGACAAUAAAUACUACAGAAAUGAUUAAAAAAAAUAUUUUUCUUUUAUAAUUUUUCUAGAAAGUCAUUAAAACAAAAUGAUCCCCAUCACAUAAAAGUGAAAUAACCUCAUCUUCUGUACAAGAUUGAAUGAAGGCCAAAACUAAUAACAAUUACAGUUAAUUUCUCCGGGCAGGAAGCUUCCAUAAAGCCCCAUCUUGAUCCUCAUUAGCCUGUUGGAAGUGUUGCUUCAAAGGACAGAGCCCUUUAUUUGACUCAAUCCUCUCGUUGCUGUCUGCAAACGUUAUGAGUGUCACAUUACCUUCAAACUGAUGGAUGGCAUCCUCGUCCAUCCAGAGCUGCUGCUCCAUUAUGACGCCGUGCCUUGGCUUUGACUGAUUGCCAAUGGACUCAAAGUGGAAGUGAUUGAUGAGAACGUGUAGUUUACCGGCCAUGUAGCUAUUUAUGUGAUCAUAUUCCUAACCUUUUAUAUCAGCACUGCGAUGCGUCUAUCACUUGGGAGACAUAUUACGUGACACGACGUCCAGUCUGUGCCGGUUGUCUUGAUAUCUACAUCCUGCUCUUCACUUCUCCGUCCCAGAGUGGUUGGUAUUAGUCAUCAGUACGCGGUGCACGUGAACUCCACAAUGUUGAACCAGGUGUGUUGACAUGGCCGCAUGCCUCUUGAAACAUCCCACAAAAUCUGGCCCUGCCCAAAGAAAAUAUGCUGACAACAUCAGUACAAAAACCGUAUAUACAACAAACAGGUCUUUGUAACAAUAAACUAUAAGCAAAGAUCCAAAGCCCCAACUGUCACACACUCACACACACACACACACACACACACACACACACACAGAACUUACUUCAGCCAAUCACACCCUUGUUUGACAAGGGUGAUCCAGACAAGACAUUAAUGACGUUUUUUAGGAGUGAUCACAUCACCUGAUUUUCUGUGAUUGGUUAAUUCCUGCUGUGUGGCUUUCAACAAAAGAAAUCCUUGUUGGCACACAAUGAUAUUUCAAACAAUAGUUUGGUUUCGGUUGGCUCACACUCCAGCAGCCCCCGCCCAUUUUUUGUCCAAGGUGCGUAACAUUUGCCCAGCACAUCAGUGUCCAUUCAUACAUUUUAUAAUUAUAAUGCUUUUUUAUCUGUAAAAUGAGCAUCCCGACAGGUUUUUGUUAGAACAAGUGGUGAAUCAGUUCUGAGGUCUGUACAAAAACCACAAGCUUGUUUAUUUCAAUGGUUGGUGAGGCCUGUUAAUUAUAGCCUCAGUUUUUUUUGCAUGAUGUGGAUAGCCACAUGGUAAUUUAAGAAUUCUUAAUUUAUUAUUAGCUACAGGAUAUGCUAACAGCAAAAGUCAUUUCCACUGUAAAAACUAUUAUUUCUUAACAGUCAAUUAUAUAUUCAUACUCACACAAUGUGGGUGUAGUGUUUGCAAGUCUACAUAGUUUUGUAUUAACAUUUAACUCAGAUUGGGAUAAUGCUGGAGUGAAAUCUUUUGAUAUUUAAAAAUGAAGAUAUCCAUUGAUUUUCUUUGAUAGCUCCUUUUCUAAGAAAAUCAACGUGUGAAAUCAUUCCAAGUCCAUAUAUUCCACUAAUAUGUAUGUAGAAAAUGAUGUUCAAAUUGCAAACAAUUCAUUUAAGUUCCACAAUGAAUCCUGUGGUGAUGUUUUGGUAUCAUCAAAUGUUAAAGUACAGAACUUGGACUUAAAUAGCAUUCACAGAAAAUGUAUAAAUGUAUGGCAACUGGGGAACUAAUGGCCCGGUUCUUGACAUUCAAUACCACAAUAGCACAUUAUACAUUAGAAAGUGGAGUCUAAAGCCACUACUGUUGCACACCCAGUGCUUAUCUAUGAUCAGUGGCCUGGUGAUCACAUCUCGUCUCUCAUCUGUCACUUAAAGGCACUGUUCAUGCAACAUGUGAUGCACCAUGUCACUCGUCCAAAUGGCAAGUAACUCAAUUUUCCUGCAGAUGGUUGGAGAGAAGGAAAGAGGGAGAAAACAGGCUGAGGAGAUGUGUAGUUUUUGGCAAGAGAGGCAAUGAUUCACAUUUUGAGGAAAUGUUGAAGGGUAAUUUCUCCCCAUCGGCUGUAUUUUUGUCAGAGAUUUAGUGCAUGGUAAUAGCUAAACAUUAAGCACUUUUCUUUGUGGUUCACCCUAGCUAGAUUUUAGAAUAUCUUAUGGAGAUGGAACUGUAAUAAUGUGGUGUUUCAGCAGAAGAAAGCAGAGUUUUAGUAGUCCUUUCUUACCUGAAUAUAUUAUAGAUUAUUUUCUACCAUUGGUGUGAAUCCCUCACAUUGCAACCAUGCUGUGGGACUUUGCUAUCACCUAGUGGCCACCUAGAAGCAUAUCUCCCAAAAAUAUAUAUGGCAAUGAUAUAGUCUCAUGAGCAAAUAUUUCCUUACUAUCGAUGUAUUAGAUUUUAUUUUAGUGACCAAUUGUUUGAGUUACAGCUUACAAACUGCUUUCCCACGAAUACAUGUCUGGGAUUGCUAAAUCGUAAUUUAACCAAGCUAAGCCCUUAUUGACAUUGGCAGCUAUCAUUACAACACACUUAAUCGCAGAAGUCCAGUGUGUUAACACUGUGUACACUUCAACUCGCCUAAGCGUCUGCAGAAAAAGGUGGAGGCGGCAGCGGAAUACGAGGAGACUUGUUGCACUCCAAGCCUGAGCUCCAGCAGCAGAUCCGCUCAGAUUGAUGGUCUUCUGGGAUCAGCUGUGCUCCAGGUCUGGCAGCUGGAAAAGGGCUCUUCUGAGAUACCAGCUUAAUAGAGAUAGCAGACUGUCUGGCUCUAUCUGAGCACUACGUUGUAAAGGCCUGAGAUGGAUUGGUGUUGGUGAUAAACAACAGGCAUACGGGUCGUAUCUUUUCCAUAGUUCUCUGCUGACUACGAUGUGUGUCAGUGAUGGAUGUUUAUGAAGCAUGCUGAGGAUGGAGUGGGUAGUACUGGAAGCAGUGGGGUCCUCUGGGGUUUACUCUUUUGAAUGAAGAAUUUGAGGUUCUCCUCAAACCUUUAAUUAACUUAAUUUCCAUAGGACCACUUACCCCAAAAAGUGUCUGUUUUUGUCUAUGGCACGGCUUAUCCAUCACGACUGGUUACAGGAGCCUGCUGAGGUCAGACCUCUCCUCCUGUCCUCAGGGCGAAUCACCAUUUUGAUAGAGCUGGGCCCCUAACUGAGUGCUGUCUGGCAGAUGUGAAGAUUAUAGCAUGUAAAUAACGGAGGAGAGAAUUUGUUUUAUUCUUUCAUUUAUUUCAAACCUUUACAUAGACACAGAGGUCCAAUGCAAAUGCUUUUUGUUGUCCGGGUAGUACUAAAGGCUCCAGUACUGGGAACAUAAAUGAGAGAGAAUGUAACAUAACUACUAUAACAAUCUAAAGCCUUGCUGACCAAUGCACACAAUGUAUUAUUGUAACAUUUAGCAUCCUAGCAUUAGCUAAUUUGCACUAACACAAAGUACAGCAGGGAGAAAAUCCAAAAUGACCAUCUGUUCCUCAAUCUGGCCUUCACAGCUAUAUCUGUCCAGCAUAAUGUCCUUUUAGCAUGUGUUACUUCUUGGCCUUUUAUGUCGUGUGGACGAAUAGCUUCAACAUCAGCUGGUUAACCUGUCAGCCUGUACAGGAAAAUCUUAUCAGCCUGAUUCAAUCCUUUGAAUCUGGCUUGCUGGCACUGCUCCUAUAAGUCUGGGAACGUUUAGGGCUGAGCCACCACCUACUCAUUGAGUGAGGGCUCUCUCGCAGUCACUUUCUCUGUGAAUCCCUAUUUAUGCUGGCUUUGCUCACCAGAAUUAUCCACAAUACGUUGCAAUGUGACAUUAAACAUGGAAGCAUAAACAAGUGUGGCAAGCAGAAUGACAAAUGGCUGUUCAGCCUGGCAAAUGAUAUGUUUUGUCUAAAUUGACCUUAAGGAUUAAAGCAAAUAUUAUGUGACACAGAAUUACUCAUCAAACGUUUAAUUUUAUCAUUGUAUCAGUUUUGACCUAAAUGAGUGAGUAGAUAAUUUGAAAAUAACUUCUAGUCUUGUUUGGAAUGGGUCUAGAAGAUGUACAAAUCAGGGAGUGAAUUUUUUUUUUUUAAUACCCACAACUGUACAGAUAAUUUUUUUGACGUUGUCAUGGCAACGUUAUAUGUUGCAGCACAGUGCGGCCUCGCUCGUGUUUACACCACAUCAAGCCCUUACAGCCUCUCCCACUAGUCAGUAGUAAGUCCCUGAAGGUUCAAGGUCUACGGCCGUAGGGCGACACUGUGUUUGGGACGGACUCUUUCCAAUUCUACUCACAGUGGCCGUAACAUUAGUGAAUCACUACUCGAAUUCUGAGACCGUAGAAUAACUGCCAAUGUUCCACACACUGCACCUGGCGACGUUUCAAAUCUAUAAAUCUUGCAGAGCACAGGAAGGAAUUGCUUUAGGACAAAAUUGAGGAACCAGUGUUGCUACACUGGUAAAAAUAACUUUCUUCAGCCAGAGUAUGUGCCAAUGAUGUGAACCGUGUCAACUCCGACACAACCAAUCUAUUGCACAGCUCUUUAGUUUUUGCAAAUUGUUACAAGAAGCUACUCUCCACAUACUGUCCAAAGGCUUCGACAUCCUCCUCUCCAUCCUCCUCCCUCUCGCCUUCCGUCCUGCUCCACAUCACGCUAAUUACCCCUCAGCAGCGAGACAGUCUUGUGUUUAGUGACAUGCCGAUGCAGGCCCAGUCUGCCUGACUGGUGGCUCUGACAGCCUGUCAAAUGCAUAAUACACAUACACACACACACCAUCUGAGAGCCGGUGUGAUGGAAGAUAGUGGCCUACGACCUGCAAACCCACUCCCAUACUCCAACCAGCCCACCACAACUACUAACCUAUACCCCCUCCACCCCUUGCACCUCACCACACAUGCAUCUAAAUCAGCUCCCCGGCAAUUUGCUGCUGUGCUGCUGUCUCGUUGCCUCGCUCUCUUCGUCUCUCCCUCUCUCUCGCUUUGCUACUAAUGAGGUUCUUAGCCGCUGUCAGUGCAGCCUCGAGAGUCAAAACAAUGUGACCCCAGUGCUGGGAGUCAGCGGGGUUGAGGGUAAUUGUGCGUAUAAAUAUAGCACUCACAACAGUGGUGAUUGGUCAUCAUUUGAUGAAGAGGCGUCUUUUCUUAUGUUUAACUUGUGUGUGUCUCUAUGUGUGAGACGUGAAAUGGAUGUCAGGCAGCAGUGUGUGUAGCUGCCGGGUUCUCCCUGAUUGCUGCCUCGCUGGCUGACAUGUUUCCCUCCACCUGCUGAGACAGGCCCCCGCUAUCAGAGAUGCUGAGGGAUCAUUAGUGCAAGGCCCCCCUUCACACAGUCGCCUGAAAAAAGGCCCUCCUCCCCUCCGUCUCCUCACGCCGCCUGUUGCUCCACUGCCUCUCAUUUUGUUCAGUUUGCCCCCCCAUCUCAUCAUGUUCUCCCUGCUAGUGUUGCCCCCCUGACAACUGUCUUGUAAUAUCCUACAAUCUAGCCACAGCAAUUGUUGGUGAAUUCCACCAGCCGUGGCCAGAUGCCAUGGGACACACUUUUUACCAAAUUCACCGCAGUUAAUUGGUAAUAAGGAGAAGUGUAAAGCUCGGCAACUAAAAGAAUGUACAGCUAACUUAUAGAAGUAAAGCAAGAACAUGGUCCUUAGUAGACCACUGACAGUGACUUACCGUCAUGUUAAAGGUUACUGACUGGUUGGUAAUCUGCAAAAAGAUUUUUGACUUUUUUGCUGAACCUUUCCUUGCUCAUCCAUCCAGGGCUUUGAAGGGCUUUGCAAUAUUUAGCACAUUCUGCAGCUUUUAUUGCAAAGAGAAACAUGGCUGAACUUGUGCAUUGGAUGGUUUCUAAAAUGUAGUGUAGUGUAUAAUUUAACUCUAUAGUCUUCUCACCAAACCCAUGUGCUGAAUUACAGACGUAGUGGCUGCUUAACUAACAGAUGGUGGAAAGGAAUGAAUGUGAAUUUGUUUGUUGCAAUCACAUUGCAAAAUAUAUUUUUUUCAAAAGACAAUUUAUACUGCUUCACUUUAUCUAUAGGCUUAUUAUAGUAAAAUAUCUGCCUUUAGGUGAACCUACAGUCUAAAUCCCUCCCGGUGAUAAUGGUUUAAAUAAUUGUUGCUAAUUAAAGAUAAUAAUAUCUCGGUUUGACAUCAGAAAUACGGUGUUCAUUAAAAGAAAGUCGUUUGAAGAUGGUGAAGGUGAAUAAAAAUGAAUUAGCGUGAAGGAGAUGAGUGGACUCGCUAUCAAGAGGCAGAUAAAGAUUUUAAGUUUGCAUGCUCAUGUUUGUGCAGUUAAUAAAGGGAGAUUCAAGCGUGGACCAAAGCACACUGUGCUCCAUGAAAGCCAGUACAGACGACGGCAUGACCUCAUAAAAGACCAGUUUAACUGUCCAACUAAAGCAAUGAAACUUUCCAUAAACAUUAGUGGGCUCAAGGCAAAGAAAAGAGUCUCAGAAAUUGCUCCAAUACGGCAUGCCAGCAAAAUACAAGUUAGCAAAGCUUGCCACUUAUAAAUCUUCACGCAGUCCCACAAGAUCAUCGCCUAAUGACUGACUGAGCUGAGCAAAUCAUGGCAUAUGGACCGAAGAGGGCUUUAAAGGUUUCUCCCAUUUUAUGAGGGUGAAAUUACAUCAUUCAUCAGCCUCACAUAUGAGGAGGUUACGCUUCUUUGAAACGCUAUCACACGUGAAACUGAAAGAAAUAUCAGACGACAGCACUGUGAGCUUGAGAGAAUAUUACAAAACGCUGUACUUCCCUCAUCACGAUGUUACAACGGUUAUGCAAUUGAUAUUUCACACUUCCUCCAUGACAAAGGAUUAAGCUGGUGUUAAUGCACAAAAUCUGUGAUGAGGAGCAGUUUAUAUAAAACAAUGACAAACAGAUCAAAUUUUUAUUUUCCAACCUGAACAUUUUUAAACAAAACUAAAUGUGAUACAAGGGACUGCUGUCCAUGACAAAUCAAUGAAGAUGGUGUAAAAUCAGAAACAAUACUAAGAUAUGAAUGGCGUAUAUUCUUACCAAAAUAUUAUUGGUUCUAAUACCUAUAAUUUUGUCCCGCUUCCACUUGACUUCCAAUGACUUAUGGCGCUGACUGUCCUGCUCACAUGAGACUUUUUAAAUUUGACCGUUUCUAGCUCCCCCCAAAAAAUAGAUUAAAAGUUAUUGAGCACUCACUUGAUCUGGUACUAAACCAUAAAACAGGGCAAUAAUAUUUAGUGAACAGAUGACUGAACAGAUAAAUACAAUACAUGCGGUAGGAAAUGUUAUCUGCUUUAAAUACUGAUAGAGUUUCACUGGUGGCAAGUCACAAAAUUUGGGGUGAAUUAGGACGGAUGAAAGAAAGACUUUAUGUUCAUAGCCUUUCUAAAUUCUAAAUAUACUUUGCUUCUCAUGAUAUUGUGUCAUUUCUAAUUACCCCCACUGGGUGGCACUGUGUGUUCAGUGAAGUGAAGCAAGAGAUGCAGCAGCAGCACAGUGAAAGGUCAGAGCGCCAAUGUUUAUUAAUAUAGCCACUUCUGCAUCUUGUAUUGGAUUAACUAGUCAUGAUUAGAUGCAGCAAUACGACUCGAAUGGACAACAAUCGGGUCACACAGACCAUCUGUCAACAUACGCGUCAAUUAAGCACUGCUGUUGAUAUUUUCUGCUGGAAAGGAUCCAUAGUCUCUGAGUCCACGUUUCCAUCACUUGGAGACUGUCAGUUUGUCAGCUUGGAAGAUUAAUUAGCCCUCAUGGGGCAUUUCUGUGCCAGUGCAGUGCCAUUCACAGUAUGGAGCACAGCUUCACACGCUUCCAUGUGGAUUUGGCUAUUUGACAUUCACUGAGGCGCAGAGGCCCGGCAGCCCUUCAAGACACGAAAUAUGUAUUGCCACCAGAAUUUGGUGCAUUGGCGGACAAUGGCUAUACCCAGUUCCUCUACGGGGACCACAGGAGGGGGACAUGUGUCUGUCUCUGUAACUCUGUAAUAAACUCAGAUCUCCAUCCAGCUAAAACCGACGUGUAACAGCAGCCUCACAAGCAUACAGUUGUACAGCAGUAAGAGCGGCCCACCUGCUGCUCGGAGACUCGGGUGUGAACUGUUGCACAGAGGACAGGAAGGGACUGUUAGCAAGGUGAGGUGGAUUUGUAUCGGUGCAACAAUUGGGAAAAUGAAAUACUAAGUCGACGUCUAAAAUGAACACAUGCAUGGAUCGUUUUUCGUACACAGUAAGAAAACUGCAAUUUCAAUCAAAUAUUUCCUCCCAGACACCGGUCUCCCAGGCUUAUUUAACCAGCACAGAUUGAUUUCAGUGAGACCAGAUAAAACGUAGAAAACCCAAAACAAGAUGUCUGACCAGUUGUUUGCCUCGCGAAUGACAUUUGUUUGCAUCAGAUACCCGGAAGACAUUUAAAUAGCAAAGAAAAUUGCUAGUAAAUGUCACAAAGAAUUAAGGGGUUUUGAUAGGGCACUGAGAAACGCUGCUUUUUUUCCAUUCUCUGGUAUUUUGUCAUUUUGAUGCCUGAGAGUGAAAUAGAUUUCAUUGAUUCAUCUUCAUGCUGGAUGUUUCCCGACCGCCUCACUCGCAGUAGUGAACCUCAUUGUUGUCUCAGCCAAAUGGGCUUUUUGUGACGACGGACAGAAGACAAAAACUGUCCACUUUGGAACGGCACAAAUAGAGCGGCUUUCCGUACCAGAGGAUUCAUGGUAGUCGAGACUGCCCAUCAAGUAUGUCUCUAACUCACUACUUUAAACCAAGACAAUGACUGACGUCUCUGUGGUUUAUGAGAUUUACAUGUCAUAAACAGUCUCUGACACACCAAAGCUUUAGAUCCAUUAGGGGGCACUAGAUUGUAAUGAAACACCAUGGUAGAAGCUGCCCAACACCUUCAAGUUGAUGUGAGUACCUUUUGUGGUAAAGAAAUAAUACACGAAUACCAGGGGAAUUAAAUUGAAUAUCCCCAAAAAUAUUCCCAUUGUUUCAGGAGCUGACAUUCAUUCACUCUCUUUUUGAGCUCGAUCAGUUGGAGUCUGUUGUUAAGAACAUAUUAAAAUUUGGCACCACUCUCUGCUUGGAAAUUUACAUCUGAGAUAAAAGAAAAAAGAAAGACCCCCGCUGGUUAGAGAUAUUUAAAAGGCUGCACUCUUCCCUGAACAACAGUCCAUUCAGUUGCUAAACCAAAUUAUAUAGAAGGGGGGAUUUGUAAAACACCAUAUUUCCUCUUUCUCAUGGUCAUUAUGCCUCCUACUGAAGGCACAGUGUUACUUGUAAAAUACAUAUCUCGGCUAGUGCAAGCUAUGUGGUCAUUCUUUCAGAUUGCUGUUUGGCAGAUUUGAAGAAAAAAGAAUGAAAAAAAAUGCUCUAACUGCAUUUUAUUUGGAUUUAUUUAAAAGAAGCUUUAAGCAUAAUCAGUUUGUUCGACAUAAGAAAAAAAGAAAGAUAUCUCUAACUAGAGGAAGGCGAAGUGAUCCGGAGCACAAUCCACAGGUAGGAUGUGACCCAUUUGUCUGUGAUGCAUCUUCAUUGAAAUGCAAUCUGACAUCGUUCUGCUUUACACUGCAACCAUUAAAGUGGACUGAGGCUCUGUGAGUAAAUGUCUUCCCCAGACGUCUCAUCAUUAUUCCUACAUUUAUUAAAUUAAGAUGAUUUAUGGCUGGUUUGUGUGGCGCACGGUAUAUUACCUAAAUGACUAUUUAACUGAACACAGGAAUUUCAUUAACUUUUGACCUCCAGAGUACAGAUUGUAUUGCAUCGGUGCGGCCGAGGAAGGAAACUGCUGGACUUGUUCAUGACUUCAGUACAACUUCCUCUUACAAGAAGCUAUUAUUGGAUGAUGUCGUCCAAUAUUUCACACUAUUUAGAUAUAUGAUUAUGACUACGUGCAGCGUCCAAGCCCAUUGGUGCCCACUGAAAACAUACAUCUUUAAUCACUAAAAAGAAGUUUCAUUUUAUUUCUUUAAGUAAUUCAUUCUUAUUCUUAAUUCUUAAGCGAAAAGUAAACAGGGUAUCUGUGACACUGUGUGGACUCCAUCAUAAGCUCUCAGAGGUUGAUGGAGCAGCAGCGACUAAACAAAAGGAUGCAGCUUAGAUCAAAUAGUAGAUCUAUUUGAAAGUUGUCAUGACUUUCAUGUGAUUAUUGUAUAGAUGCUCAGCAGGCUCUGGGUAUUGAAACGCAGAGCAGAAACCUGCGGCCACCAAACAAGACCAGAUCUGGCCAGAUUACAUUUGGAACUCGUCCAAGUCAGCUCCCACGCUGGGUCUCUUUUGUACGGAGCCGGGUGGUUUAGUGAAGACCUGUACAUGCCUACUGAAUAAAGAUAACGUACAGCAGUCAUAGUGAUCAGUGUGGCAGUGUGGCUGAGUGUUUUCAUUUAGCCGUAUGAGCUGACUGGCUUUAUUACAUCAGUUCAUGGCUGAUUUGUAUUUUGUUUUUCAUGUAAUUUGUUGAAAAUAACCAAAAAGUAGAAGGUCACCAGAGAGCAAAUUUGAAAAAUAUAUAUAUGUAUGUAUAUAUAUUGAUAUAAAUGUCUGUUUGACCCAUACAUUGUAUUUUACACUGCAACAAGGUUCGAUCUGUGGAAACGUUGACAUGUUUGCUUCAUGGCAAAAAGGGUUACUGAUUUACGGCAUUGAACAGGAACAGGGCUGUUAGCUUUAAUUAAGCAGGUAACAGUGCACACGCUUCUGCAAAAUGUUUUUUAGGGAUUAGGAUCUCUGUUAUUUAUU
Gasterosteus aculeatus aculeatus (three-spined stickleback) is the source of this 11387-nucleotide long non-coding RNA. The record is from Ensembl. NCBI's taxonomy places the organism in Eukaryota, Metazoa, Chordata, Actinopteri, Perciformes, Gasterosteidae.